UCCCAGUUCGGAUUGUAGUCUGCAACCCGACUACAUGAAGCUGGAAUCGCUAGUAAUCGCAGGUCAGCAUACUGCGGUGAAUACGUUCCCGGGUCUUGUACACACCGCCCGUCACACCAUGGGAGCCGGAAAUGCCCGAAGCCAGUGACCCAACCUUAGGGAGGGAGCUGUCGAAGGUGGAGCCGGUAACUGGGGCGAAGUCGUAACAAGGUAAC
RNAcentral lists this ribosomal RNA (215 nucleotides) under uncultured bacterium. RNAcentral's name for it is "partial 16S ribosomal RNA". It matches the Rfam family "Bacterial small subunit ribosomal RNA", at positions 1286 to 1500 of the family's 1533-position model. The record is from RNAcentral.